GUGGAAGGCGCGGAGAGCAGCUGCUACUAACUCACGUUCGCUGAAGUUCCGCCCCACUACCACCGGCCGGUACAAUCUCCGAGACCACGCAGCUUCGCCGUCGUACACUUUGACCACCUCUGACGGGAGAGAUACGUCCGGUGUACGGUCGCGAUGCUGUUUGUGGUCCGGGCGAUGGUCCUGGUCGGCGGGAGCGCCGGUGGAGCCGCCCCCGGAGCCCGAGCGGCCUUCGCAGCCCGAACUGAACUCCUCGCUCACGCUGCGAGCUGCAUCAGAACAGCCGAGUCGCACACAUACCCUACCGCUUAUUUUAACAUUCACACGAUUUUAUAACUUCAGCUUUAGAAAUCAGUUAAGUUUUGCGGAAUUUAAAAUAGUAUUUUUUAAAUAUUUAAUCUUGCGAUAGUUUAUCGGAACUUCAAUGUAUUAGAUUGUUGUCUAAAUUUUCGUUUUCUUCACAAAUACCAAACAAUACACACAUUGUUCAUAAAUGCGACUAGAUAUACAUCAACGUCAUUGAGAAAAUUCAUAACGGAGGUAUAUCGCUUGUAAGUUGCAUUAAUGAAUUCCAAAACGGACAUCGUGUAUGCAUAUUUAAAUUAUUACAGGAUUAUUUAUUGUUUGUUAUAUUAUAGUUAUUAAAGUACGUUUUUAGUAUGGCCUAAAAUUUAUUAAUUCGAUUUUAAUGAAGCACAUUUCUAAGUCAUACAAUUUAACAUUAAACUCUACACACAUUUAUUUCAUCUACCCAAAACAUCAACAAUUCAGGUUCAGGGUAACCGUAGUCUAUAGUCUGAAUAUGCCGUCACAGUAUCUUUCAUCAUUCUUUCCACACGAGGCGUGGUUGAGAUGCUUUUAAUCGUAUUGAAACUUAUUAAGGGGAGCAUAUAUAGACUAUUUACAUAAAUAGCAACACUGUGUCAUGUGCAUGUUACCUGUACCGAUGGAAUACUGCACCACGAGUAUCCUGGAGUCGCCCGAGAAAUGAUACUAGCUCAAGAUAUAGUCUACUAAAGACUGAAGGUGAAUAGCUGUGACUCCGGAAAUAAGGAAACGAAUGAUGUGAUUUCUUGAAAUAUAUAAGGAGGAACAGACGAAAGCGGAUUUCUGUUUUGCGUGUCCAAAGUUAUGGAAAUCGAGUUAUUUGAAAGCGUCCAAAGAAAGUUGUAAGAUGUGAAGGAAACCAGACAAACGAUUAUUGGUUAAAGUUGCACGCCGAGGACUUUCAGAGAUGUGCUUAUAUGUGAGUGAACGUGUGAGUCGGGGAAGCAGCAGUCAAAUCGUAUAGUGCAUGCGAUUAUUAGAGACUAUACUUGGAUUGUUAUAGGUUUUCUGACUCAAGCAGCCUUUCUUUUCCAUUGUGUAGUCUCUAAAAAUUUUUUUAAAUCAAAAAUGUGUACAGAAGUAGAUUCCUGUCAAAGGAAGUUAUAGUAUGAAGAAAGCUGCUAAACUAAUGCAU
Danaus plexippus (monarch butterfly) is the source of this 1459-nucleotide long non-coding RNA. RefSeq lists it as uncharacterized. Lineage: Eukaryota; Metazoa; Arthropoda; Insecta; Lepidoptera; Nymphalidae. The record is from RefSeq and is a predicted model, not a curated record. The transcript has 2 exons.